UUUCCUGGAUGGAGAGUUGGACUCUCUCUGAUGUGCUCAGAUUGAUAUUCUAGGAUUCCCGUUAUUCAUCCCCUAUUGAUGCCCGCCUCACUACACAUUGCAAUUCUGGCUCUCUUGGUACAUAUUCGAUGGUGGGAACUGUCGUUCCAGAUUUAAUUAGUUGCCACACUCCUCUCGCGCGGAUGUGUUGGGAUGGAUGCCGCCGCCGUCCAACUCAGCCCUUGAUGGUACUCCAUGAACUGUGCCGCAAAGUCCUUCCAGAGUUUGCCCAGAGCUCUCGACCAGGCGCUGCCGCUUCAGUGCACGAAUAUGCUUUUUAGGCCGUUGUAUGGUCCUUCAGAUUUUCCUCAUCUCCAUGUUUCAAAUAUUUGGCCCUACAGUGAAUAGUACAUGGGAUGUUCAACGUGGUUAAAUAAUAGAUAUGCAAUUUCAUGUUAUAUCUUUGGCAUCACUGUAUCUGCAAAUGUUUAUAAUAAAUAGAAACUGAGUUGGAUUUUAUUCAUUUGCUUCAUUGCUAAUUUUUACCAUGGUGGAUUUGAAUGUUUCUGAACAGUCUGUUUCUUACAUCAAAUAUACACAAAUGGUGAAUAAUAUUUUCUUCAAAAGUCUAUUUGUUCCGUUCUGAGCACUAACUUUCGGAUGAGCAACCUUCCUUCUAUGGCAGUCAGUCAAAACCAAGGCUUCUAUUUAUAAGAGUAUGAUUAGGUAAUGACGCAUGGGGAGACCCUGUAGUUGAGAUUUUUUAUUUAAACUUUGACAUGCCAAUGGUAUAAAAGAGGAUGCCCAACAACCCUGGAGCUUUUGAGUUGAAACAAGGAGUUACCAUAGUUCAGUAUGUCCAUUAAAUACACGCAUCAGGAUUUUAGAAUACUUGUUAUUCACUAAUUCUAGCGUUCUCUUAUCAGGAAAGCUCUUCUGGAUGUUCCAAGGAACUUACUAAAGACACCAGGGAAGAUAAUAUUUGAGCCGAGGAUGUGAGAUGUUAUUUAUGGAUGAGUUACCGGAAUGCCAUUCUGCGAUAUGAUCAUGAAUAAGGGUGCUAGCAUCCGAAGAAGUGAACAGUUAGCUGGAUCCGAAGAAGAGGUACAUCACGCCGUAUGGUGCUCCGCCUAUCGCAGCUCUUAUCUAGACAGAGUAUAUAUUCUCAAAUAAAAUUGCGUUUUGGUUCACCACUCCUGAAGUGCCCGCGGAUGAAAUCAGUCUCAUAUUGAUAAUAGUGAAUAGCUGCCUCCCUCACAUGGUUGCUACACUUUCAACUUGAUUGCAUCUUUUGUUUACAUUCCUUCUUGGACUACCUUUGAUGUGAGAUUUAUUGAGCAGAUAAAAAUUUGCUGAAGUAAAUAUAUGGAGAUAUAUUUUAUUUUGAUCUCUAUUUUCAAUUUAGAAUUCAAAUGCAAAUUCAUGGAAACUUUCGUAUGCUUCGAGAGAGUGGUAUGAAAAUAAAUUCACACCUUAUGCAGUGGUUUCCUUGAGACCAAAGUUAUUGAUAGGGCCCUGAGAAUAUGGGGACCUACUACGAGUUACGUGAUACCACAUGUAGAGAGUGAUGAUGAUUUUUAAGAGCUUUCAUUUGGAUAAUCUACAGGACAAGGAGAGUACAAUGGGGUUGUGAUCUACACCAUGUAUGAAAAAGUAUGGUAAGCAGUCAAGCAUGGAUGUGGAUACUACGUUAGCAGGACACCAAAGAAUUAUAGAGAACAUGCGAAGAUGUGGUGCAAUAUGUUCCAUCAUACUGUCUUUCAACAAUUGGCAUGCUCGUUUUUUCCAAUACAUUGAAAGUGUAGAUGUCAUAUGAAAGGGAAGCAA
This is a non-coding RNA of Lolium perenne, 1806 nucleotides long. Lineage: Eukaryota; Viridiplantae; Streptophyta; Magnoliopsida; Poales; Poaceae. The record is from RefSeq and is a predicted model, not a curated record.